This 4477-nucleotide long non-coding RNA is filed under the name Sus scrofa (pig). Its description in RNAcentral is "lncRNA (ENSSSCG00000045411.1)". Lineage: Eukaryota; Metazoa; Chordata; Mammalia; Artiodactyla; Suidae. The record is from RNAcentral.
UUUGGUUUCAUUGAUCAUCUCUAUUAUUUUCUUUGUCUCUAUUUCCUUUGUUUCUACUCUGAUUGUCAUGAUUUCUUUCCUUCUACUAAUUUAGGGCUUUGUCUGGUCUUCCUUCUCCAGUUGCCUUAGGUGUAAGGUUAGGUUGUUUAUUUGAGAUUUUUUCUUCUUUCUUGAGAUAAGAAUGUAUUGCUAUAAACUUCCCUCUCAGAACAGCUUUUACUAAAAAAUGCUUGAUAAAAUUUCAAUUUUAUUAAAUUCACCAAGACUUGGUCUGUGGCCCAAGAUGUGAUUUAUCCUGGAGAAUGUUCCAUGUGCACUUUAGAAGAAUGUAUAUUCUUCUGCUCUUGGGAUGGAAUAUUCUAUAAAUAUCAGUUAAGUCUAUCUGGUCCAGGGUAUCAUUUAAGACCUGUGUUUCCUUAAUGAUUUACUGUCUGAAUGAUCUGUUCUUUGAUGUAAGUGGGGUGUUAAAGUCCCCUACUACUAUUUUAUUACUAUUGAUUUUUUCCUUUCAUGGGUUGAAGAAUUCCUUUUGUCUAGACAACUCUUUAUCUCCCUUCAAUUCUGAAAGACAGCUUUGCUGGGGAGAGUUUUCUUAUCUGGCAAGGUUUUUUUUUUUCCCUUCAGAACUUUGUAAAUAUCCCACUCCCUUCUGGUUUAAUUUCCUGAUGAAAAACAUAUUUAUAUUCUUAUGUGAGUUCCUUUUUGUGUGACACUAUUGCUUUACUCUUGCUGCUUUUAAGAUUCUCUCCUUGUCCUUAACUUUGAACAGUGCUAUUUACAAUUGUAACUCAAGUAUGGAGUCAUCUUUGGUGCCUUUUAGGUUUCCUAAUCUAGGUGUCUAUUUUUUUCCUUAGUUUAGGAAAAUUUGUCAUCAUUAUUUAUUUGACUAAACUUUCUGCCCCUUUCUUUUCUCUUUCUGGUAUCUUUAUGAUGCAUUUUUGGUCUAUAUGUGUGCCUAUUAAGAAUUUCUUAUAUGGACUCUCAAUAAUUUGGGUAGGCCUCAUACAAUCAGCCUUAGGAGUAAAAACUGAGGUUUCCUGGAGAAGAAGUACUGACUCAAGACUGCAGCCUCCACUCCUACCUGAGUUCCAAGGUUGUCAGCCUGCCCUAUGGAUUUUUAAUUGGCCAGUCCCCACAAUUGUUUAAAAUAAAUAUCUUUAUAUAAAUAAGUAAAAAAAAUAACUGCUAAUAUGUAUGCUACAGUCCUAUGAGAUUCAUGAAUGCAAGCCUUUGUUGGCUAUCAGAGAUAGGACAUUUGGGAGACAUUCCUCAGAUAACCCGCAAGUGCUAGGCAACAGACAUGUACACAAACUCCUUCUAGAAGAUACUGGUGACCUGGCUUUAUUGUUGAUGUGGACUGAAGGGAUAAGGUGGGAGUAAUGUCUGCUGAUGUCCCCAGUCUCCAGGGAUGAUUGCAGGCUAGAUUUAUAGAUGCAGGGAAACUGGGAAAUGGAUGUCUUUGCCUGCUCCCUCUGCACCAAACACUGAGUGAAUAGCUAUGUGGCUGUGGCGAGUGUCAAUGCGACAAUAAAGAACUGCUUCUUUCUUAGCUAUAGUCUUUGGAUCUUGUAGACACAAACUUCAUUUCAGAGUUAGGUAUUUGGAGAGUCAGUCACUCAAAUGAGAAUAUUAAAGGUUGAGUCACUAAAUAUUCAUAAAAACACUUCACUCCUCCAGGAGAGGCUGGGAGUUAGGGGUUCCCUGAUUGUAUCUGGCUGCACUGGAGGGGGAGUUUAUAGUAAGUGUGUAUUUCAACCUUUUCUGCCAGUUGCAAUGUGGGUAUUUUCUUUUUUACCUAACAUGUGGGAGUCUCUCAAUUAGAUUCUUGAUUUUUUCAGAAGGAAUUUCUCUAUAUGUAGCUCUGCAUUUGAUGCAUAUAUGGGAGGAAGGAAUUUUAAGAGUCUCCUGUCUUGCUCAACUCCAUUCCCUUCUGAACUCAUAGAAGGGAAAAAAAAUAGAGCUCUGGUAAAAUAACUGUUUCCCUCACCCCAUAAUUUCUACUGAAAGAAUAAAUUAUCUUUAAUUAGUACAUUAUCACUAGAUGACUAAAACAUAUGUAUUACUUUUCUCUUAUUUCAAUACAAUAAAGAGCACAAUUUUGGAGAAAGGGCAGUAUAGUUGGGCCUCUAGCAAACAUAAAACACAAGCCUAAUAUCUUGUGGUGCAGAGCAAGACAGAAAUCCCCAAAGAAUAUGUGGCUUUAUAAUGGCAUUCAUUUUUCUUAUCUUUAGUAAACUUAAGCUUAUGAUAGAAGUUCGAAUCAUUCUUUUCUACUUUUACACACAAGUUAUAUCAGUUUUUACCACCUAAUAUGGUCCCAGUUUGACUUAUUUUAUGAAACUUUGCAUUUCAUUGAUUGAACACAUUCUCUUUAGAAACAUCAAAACUCUACACACUUCUAGUUUUACUGGGUAUAGUGAGGUACAGUGAAGAUCCAUAUGGUGAAUAACUAAUUAAUCGACAUAAUUUCAUUGAAAUAUAUUUUAAUCUAUCUUGUGUAGAUAACUCAUGCUGUGUCUUCAGAGGAUGAUCACAAAAACUUCAAUAGCUUUAUUAAAUGCAUGCUAGUAAAGUCUUAUUUUUAUAUUUAUUAUGUAAUAUGUUUCACCUUGAGUUUUUGGUGUCUCCUUGUUUUCAGAUAUACUGCAAUUACCGUGAUAAUAGUAAGCUCUUUCAGACUAACUUAGUGAGUAGACAUAUUCCCUAUAACCAAUUUGGAGUUGUAGAGAUAAUGCAAGAGAGGAAUAUUGAUUUACUUUUCACAUUUCAUUACCAUGUCAAAAUAAAACACAGAUUCAUGUAGCUAUUGCUUGUAUAAAUCAAUCCUAAGUAUAAUUAAUCGUAGUGAGUAGAGUUGGAAACAAAAUAGUAAGUUACCCAAAUCAUUGAAAGCCUGGUUCAUGCUGCUCUUUGCAGUGUAUUUUUUAUGUCUUGUCCAUGUAAGCUGUCCUUUCUCAAUUCUUAUUUUCUAAAUUGCUCUUUAAAACAUUCAUGAUAUAGUACCUACCUCACUGAAGAGUUCUUAAGUGGUAUUUAUUAGUAAGUUCAUUGUUACUCUAGUUUUUCCAUCUUACAGAAAGGCAUAUCAUUAUAACCAGUAUUAUUAAUCUACCUACAUCGUUCACAGCAAAACAGAAGGGUUUAGUCUUAGUAAUAUCAGUAUUGAUCAUAACACUAAUCUUACUAGGGAUAUUUAUGCUAUGUACCUGACUAUUAUUUUAUGAUAUAUCCUCACCAAACAGAUGGGCUUCUAUCACUUUCUGAAGCUGUUGGGUCUACUCUUAUUUGAAACCAGGAAACACAUUAUAAAAUAAAUGAAACUUUAUAUAAAAGUAAAAUACUCAUAUUAGUUGUUUUUUCAAGUACAUACCAAGACAGUGACGUAAAAUGUAACUACUUGGUACCUUACUUGAAGGAGACAUUAAUAUAUGUUUUCUUUCUUAGAGUCCUAUAAAUUUUCUAGGACUUAUUUGAACAUUAAAUAUAUGUCUUAUUAUGGAGGGAAAUGUAAGUAAAAUAUACUUAAAAUUAUCAUGCAUAAAUUAUAAUGCCUGGUGAUAUUAUACAAGUAAUUUCUUACUUAGGAAAAAAUGACAUUGAAACAGACAAGCUCUUUAACAAUCUAUAUGUAAAUUCAUAAGAAUUGAAACCUUAGAACACGACCUUGGGUACAUAUUACUAAAACUAUGCCAUUAACAUUUUUUUUCUUGUCCUACCAUCAUGGACUGAGCAAGGGAAAGAAUCCAUGACAAAAUUCAUAAUUCAAUUUAAUCUAAAAAAUGUUAAUAUUACUUUUAAGUAAUAUAGAAGUGAAAUUUAUCAGUCAUACUUCGUUGAAAGUAAUUUGAUACAAAUAUUCCAUCAUAAGAGAUGCAAUGCAAGAUUAUGAGUCUGUGGUUAUGUUAUUAGAUUUGGGUAGGAGACAACUGUCAGCUCCUCAAAAUGACAACUGUCAAAUGACCAGAUAUUCAGAUUAAUAUAUAUUUAUUUUCAAACUACAGCCAUAUGAAGUAUAAAGCAUUAUAAAAAAUAAAUUAGAAGCAAUAUGAAAAACUAAGAAAAUAUAUCCUAAAUAUCAAACUUCAUUAAACCACAUCAUCAAGACUUAAUUAGCGGUAGAUGCAUUGAAGUAUAACUAAUUAACAAGCUUUCAAGUUUGCUUUUUUUUUGUUUUCCAGUGGCAUUUUCUGACCUUCUAGGAUGCAUGAUUAAGCACGUAGAUCUUUAAAAUGAGAAAGCAUGACAAAUGUAAGCUCUCCUUUUCUUUAAGAUCCCACAUAUUACAUUUAGGAUGUCAUCUGAGAGAAUUCAGUUUCCAUUUUUUUAAGGCAUGAAGUUUUUAAGUAUUGAGUUUUGUAUUUUGUUUAAACUUAAAGGUUUCUUUUUCUCAACAGAAAUUUCAAAGUUGGGCAGAACAGGGUCAGUUACAGUUGUUCAAGGAAAUAAUUGGAACCCAGGUUUAUUCUCUCAUCUUGCU